UACACAAGGGUUUUCAGUAUGAAGUGCCAGUGACAUUGGCUCACUUCAAACAACAUGAGGAUAGUUACUAAAGGACAUUCUUCAGAUAUAAAUAAUAAUAAAUUUCUCCUAUGUGGGAAAUACUUAAGAACCGAGGGCUCUUGAUUGAGGAUGUAUAUCAACAGAAUGGAAGAAAGUCUCUUGGGCGGAAGACUGGAGUACAUGUCCAUCAUUCUGUUGGCUCGACUGUGAGAAAGAAGGACUUUCAGAAGACGCGGCUGGUGCUGUUUGGACACUGUACUAUUUUAUUACUACCAUAUAAGAAGUUGACAAUGACCUUCCAGCUCUGUUUACAAGUUACUGCAGGCUCUGUUUUGAGUUUGUGGCUGACUUUGUGUAACUUUGUGUCUUAACAAACUCAAACAUUCUGUCAUCCAUUGUGUCAUUGAACAAAGCAACGCUUACAGUCUGCUGGCUGUAGCUGGUCUGUACCACACAGCAACCAGACUUCAUAGUGAACAAUUCAUUUUUGUUUAAUUAUAUAGUAUUUAUUUGUCAAACAUGGCUUGGAACUAAAAUGUUAUUUGUGUGUGUGCAUGUUACAUUCUAAUUAAGAAAUGUGGGAAAACAGUUUAACAUGAAGAGCACCUUCAAGGAGUUCAAGUUAAUUUACCGUGCAAACUCUCUUUUCUGAGAACACUUACAUAUGAUUUAGUUUUUUCCGUCCCUGGUCAGACCGACGGUGUGGAGUUGACAUACUCCACUUCUCCUUCCUGACACUGGGAGGUGCUCGUGUUCCGUCAGUGAAUGACCACUGAAAACAUAAGGAAUGUAUCUGAAACAUGCAGUUGGUUGCAUCACAAUGUAACACAUCCACUGUCCUCGUGCCAGAUGAAAUCUGCAUCCCAAAUGUCAGUUGACGGCUGAGGCUCCUCGCUCUGUGUCACCUGUCGCGAGAAUGCGGAGGAGAGGAGGGCUCGGAGAGGGGGGAGGGGGCAACACACUCACAAGUGCUGUUCGUCAUCACUUUUUAAAUGUAACUGUGGAGUCACUUCUGGUGCAGCCUGCAAUCCUCCGGGGGGGGGUUGGUCCUGCUAAUCCGCUCAAACAUGAAACAAACCGUUCUCAAGGCGGUUGACUCAUACACACACACACACACACAUACACAAACAAAACACACACACACACACACACAUGGCACACGGCUUCACACUGACCUCAUUAUGAAAAGGUUUUGCAGAGCCUUCGAAGCACAGAUUGACUCCUCUGCUUUUUUCUGCGAGCUGGGGCUCAGGAGGUCACGCUCAGCGAGUCUCCAGGAGAAGGUAGUUUCUGUUUGACGCUGCUGGUGGAAGAACGAGUCUUAAUAUACGGCAAUGUGUGAUUACCUCAUCCUCUGGUGCGUGCUCCUCCAGCCGGCUUCAUCAAGGCCAGUUUGAGCUACACUUAACUGCUACUUCUCUCUGACGGUGGUGACCUGCUUACUACCCGCAAUUAUUUGACUCAUCUCUGUUGUAGGAAUUGAAUGUAUUGUACAUAUUUUACAUUGUUCAUUUUUUACACAUGACAUCCAUUGUAGUCUGUCCAUCCCGGGGAGAGGGAUCCCUCCUCUGACGUUCUCCCUAAGAUUUCUUCCCUUUUUACCCCAUGGAAGGGUUUUCAUUUUUUGGGGAGUUUUUCCUGUGCCGAUGGUUUUGGGACAGAGGAUGUCGCAUGCGCGCAGACUCUAAAACCCUCUGAGGCAAAUUUGUAAUUUGCGAUUUUGAGCAAAAUAAAAUUAAUCGAAUUGAAUUGGAUUUUCAACAUUUUGAAUGACUGAGUUUUGCUUUCAAUGGGUUAUUUUAGUUCAACUUUAAAUUAAAGGUUGAACGAUUAGCAUUAGUGUUUAAUCACUUUCUUACUAGUGUUUAAUCACCUGCCUCACGCCUCUUCUGCACAAUUAUGAAAUCUUUUAAAUUGGUCCACAUGACAGGUCGGGGUAAUUGGUUGUUGAACUAGUUGUGUGCAACAGUCUGCAAGAUCAUUUCUGUGCUUUAGAAAAACAUGAAGAGGAAAAUUCUGCUGCCUGACAAAAAAAAAAAAUCAAUUUUGCACGUUUUGCAGGUCCAGGAAAUCCUUUGUUGAAGUGGAGAUCUGCGGCUACAAUGACUGCAUAAUUUAAGCGGCACCGGACAGUUUUUAUUAGCUGCAAAAGAGAAGUGUUAGAAGCAAAACAGCCUGACACACAUUCUACUCCACCUGUGGGGAGAAGAGGAGAAGCUGUUGGACAGUGCAGUAGUGGCCACUUGUUGGAGAAUAUCACAGUGCGAGGAGAAGGUCAAAAGCCUGCAGGCUUUGUCGUUACUGAACGAUCGCUGGCGUUAAUAAUGGAUGUAGAAAAACCUCUGCAUGUCAACAUCUGUGUGCAAUGGAGUCGGAGUUGAAGCCAGAAAAUGAAAUGACGGAAAGCAUGGACCCAUUUUCAUUCAGUGAGUAAACAGAGUGCUCAAACGCACAUUUAAUGAUCACAUGGUUCUUCACUCUGACCUGCUGCGGAUGCAACGAGUGAGACCGUUUCACCGCUCGGAGAGAAAAGGGGUCCAGCUGUUUAUUGACAACCAGCGCUGAGCUCACAGUCGAAACCACAAGUAUGUUUACAAGUCAGACUCCGCAACGGGAACAACGGGCGUGCUUGUCUCUCGCUCUGGUCCUCUGUUAUCUAAUUUGUCUCAGUUCUGUUCCAUCGUGUCCCUGAUCCAUCUCAGCUGAUGAAAAACAACCUUCAACAUUCAUUUUCCACCUCCACUAUUCCCUCCUCCUCUCCUCCGCCCUCCUGGGGGAGACGGGGCGGCUGGUAAGGGAUGUGAACACAUGAGAAUCAGCAACCGCACCAGAGAUAGUAAUUGUUAAAUUGCAACAAAUGGACCCCGUGUGACCCAGAGGAAUCAUUGCAGAAAUCAACAAAGACUACCCCGACCGAGUUUAUCUAAAUUCCAAUAGUAUGCUCAGUAAUGGAAAAACACUGUAGAAAUGCCAUUUCAAAUAGAGCCCGAUGUAAUCCCCGGCCCACCGGGGUCCAUUUAAUCAAUGCUACAGACCUGAGCGUAGAGGAGGAACAGUCUGCAAAUGGAAGUGGAGUUCUGAGUCAGCUCACAGGAGAUUAAAAAGUAGAGGUGGAUGAAUAAUGGAGGAGGAGAAUGGUGGGAAAAUUGCAGAAUGUGGCGAAUCAUCAAUAACGCCUCCUGUGAAUAAUUCUGAAAAGAAAAAGACUUCUUCUGAAACUGUCUGUGCCCGCUGAAAUGGAAUUGUUCUUAAUUAAUUUUCGCCUCCACGCUGCGGACGAGCGCUCAUUAUUUCACAAGCGAGCUUUCCACUCGUCUCACUUAAGAUCGCCCGAGACGAUGUCCUGCGUCACGCAGGCCCCUGGUAACGUAAGUGACGGCUUCCCACCGAUUAGCUGUGAAGUUUGGGAGUCGGACGAAGUGCAGCUUAUGUUGUUUUGUUCGGAGCUGCGGUUUACACUGACGGCUCCGCGAGGUGAGUCCACUCCCGGGGAGUUUUUUUCUCGCGAAUACGAACCCAACCAGCUCGCCCUCAAAAACCAACAACCAAUUCAAGCAUCCCAUCAAUCAGCGCUGCACAGAAGCACACUGGGGACGGCAGUCACUUUUGAAAGGCCCAGCGGUGCUCGGGCCUUUAAGCAGCGGGCUAAACAGCACCCGCCCCCCCGCCUGGGCAUAAUCACGUAUCAUUACGUCUCCAAUCAAUGGAGCAAAGCGUCACUCCCGCGCUGUUUUGUGUGGUGCUCCAGCGGCGCUCACAAGGACGCCGAGCUCUUCAUUUCGGCCUUGUUAGCAAACAAGCAGCUCACACAGGGCAGUGACAGAUGUUUAAAUCCAUGUAGAAUUAUUGGGGGGGGAGGGGGGGGGGGUUCUUUGGGCGAAGUCUUCUCCUGGUUGUUUUUUCCCUCAUUAUCGGACAGCGAUGUCCCCCGUUGUUUGACGGGUCAUUUGCCAGUUGUCUCACAUCAGCGGCCAUGAGGAAAAGACUACCUGUGUCUGUUGCUGUAAAUCGAGUUAAUAGUGUCCGAUUUUAAUGGCCAGAUUUUUGUAGCAGCUUUGUCACGUUUCGGCUAAAGUUGUGCGACAAACACAAGCUUUGUUUUACAUGGAAAAGGAUUGUUAGCAAACUUCCUCCAGCGUGACAGAAAGCUCCAUAACAGUGAGAUUGCUCAAGGUCAUUUUCAUUAUGUAGAUUCCAAUAAAAUAGAUGACCUUUUCCAAUUACCUAGAAACCCAUAAUGCAUAGAUAUUGUUUGAUUGAUGGAACUUAAACAUAUUGAAAAGGUUCCUGCACUUAUCUUACAAAAGCCAUUUCAUCUCUGCUCCUACUAAAUUAUUGUUAUUUGUGCAUCUAUAGGACCAACGCGAACUCCAUGAAUGAUGUCUUCUAAGUGUUUAUGUUUAGACCAUGAGCCAAAAACAUCUGUAAGAAACUGCAUUUGUACUUGUCGGCUCCACACUCGCUGUCCCACAGAGGUCGUUUUCCUUCCCUCCGCCUCACACUCGGCUCCUCGCGUCUCUCGCAUGCUCGUGGAACGGGGAAUUUUUUCCCCGGCAGCCGAGAAGAGAUUUCUCAUCAGCAGCAGGACGGAAAGAGCCUCCAGAGCAGCGAUCCUUUAUUCCACCUGUCGGGGCAACGAAUGAAGCACCACACCAUCCCGGUCCAGUCAGCAGCUUGGGGGGUGAGGGGGGGGGGGUUGGAUUUAACUGGCAGUCCAUCAUGUCUGAGGAGGGGGAAGGUUACGCUGGAACAACACCUGUACGGAGGAAACGGAAGGCAUCACAGCACGAGUCCCCCCCCCCCACCCCCCCUUUCAAAGCGAUACCAUCUGCAAAGCUUUUUUUUCUCCACACAAAGACAACAAGCAUAAGUGGCUCGGUGGAAAGAUAACAGGCACUUUUAUUGGAUGCUUUAAUUUUAAUCCAUUAGUAAUUAUUCAAUGAUUUUUUGUUUUCUGGUGUGUUCCAAGGGAAUUCAAGGACUGUUUCAGAGAUGAUUUGUAACACAAUUUGUCCAAAACACUGAGGGAUGUUUAACAAUUAAGAGGCGCAGCAGCAUGACCCGCUCGCGAUGACGGUUCCAUUGCUGCCAUUAAGGACGCAAUCUGUCUUUAUGGGGAGUCUUUAGUUUGAAUUUAGCUGGUUAAAGAGAGCCGUCCAUCACUGUGCAGGCUGACCCCAUCCUGCUGGGAAUUGAACUGUAGUUAAUUAGCGCACAAAGCCCGCGGGACAAAAGAAACUUUGGGGUGGAGGUGAUUGGGGAGCUGCUUGGAUGUGUGUGUGUGAGGGGGGUCUUGAGCCUGUAGCUCAGAGGGACUUUGGUGGAAACACUUUGUAUGUGUGUGUUCUGAGGGGAGGGGAUUGCAGCAGCGGGUGUGGGGGGGCCACAGAGGGAUGAAUUAGCGGUGUGAAGGGGAGCCUUGUCCCCGUGCAGCCAUUCUUCUACCAACCACCACACUCCCUCUCUCCCUCUCUGCUGGAACCUGCCAAGGGACAAAAGGGCCGGGUGGGCGUGGUGGAAAGGGACCUAAAAAAAGGUCAAAGCGUGACAUGAACUAAUGAGGAAGCCUUUCUACUGGAGAAAUCACUUGUAUCUUCUUACUGUAAAAUGGUGGAGCAGUAAACGUUUCUCUGUCCUGUUUUCUGUGUCAUCGGUCCACAUGCGGAUGUACGUUAUUGUGAUACAAGAGUAAAUAUAAAAACACACCCAUGGGUAUCUUUUGGAUGUGAUGUGCAUAACUCGGAUCACACAGUGUGUUAUGCGGGGGGGCAGUGGGGGGGCUCUCAGCCUAAAGAAAGACUGUCGGCAGCCCGCGGGAGGCGCUGUCUCCCCGCGGUCACCGGAGCUCACGUCCAACCGAAGACCGGAGUCCGCGCGAAGCCGGUAUCGGACGCUUUUACGCGGCGGCGUGCGCGCGCGUCGUGCACGCCGUCCAGGACGGACAAACACUUUAGUCAAGCGACCAGCCCGGUCCUCCUGCUUCUCCUCCCACCUCCUUGCCCCCCCACGCCGCCAGCCUGCACCGUCAAUCGCUGCAGACGGAUCCACGAGAAACCCGGAAGUGUAGCUCUUUUCACUUCAUAGUAAAAGCGUAAGAAAAAUCACGUGAAACAAUAAAAGAUCGACGGGGCUCGUCGCCUACAGGUGAUGUCAGAGCAGUGACAGGUGAUUUAAAGCUGCUAUGACAUCACUGGUUAGGAUGAUGUCAUCAUGUCCGGUGACGAAGCACGACGGCUGCGGUUACCCGCGUGACUCAGCUUGCCGGACACACUUAAUUUAUAUUUUUUUGAUGUACGAAACACUGUGACCACAGACUGCGGAUGUUAUUGUGAAGAGGUUCUCUGGUCUAGUGGGGUUUAUCCUUAAAAAAAAAAUCCUGUAAUGCAGGGAAAUGAUGAUGAAUGAUGAAUGACUGCAGCUGUACCAGAUGUGAUGGUGACUAUUUAGUUGUUUUAGAAAAACUGGAGGAUAGACGAUGGAAAGUGCAGAGAAUACUAAUGCAGACCUAUCGUGUAUAAAUAAAUAUAAAGUAGCCUUAACAUCAAACAUAGAAAUACAAAAUUAUAAGGAAAGGCGGAUUUCCCCAAAACGUACUGAAUUAAUAAUGAAAUAGAUGAAUAAACAAACAAAAAUAAAUAAAACGCUAACGAUAAGAAAAAGACGAAUAGCAUCAAAAACCAUCAGCAGAAGUGAACUAACAUGUCGGUAGUGAAACAUGUUACAUCACAUUGUGGCAAAGUGAAGCGUGUGGUCCGGAAUGAAUAAACUAAGCAGGCUAAUCCACAGCAUAUCGGCAGCUUUUAUUUUGAAAAACAAUGACCGGAAGCUUGCUAUUCCUCAUGUGUGCUUUGGUGCAUCCAGCACCCCCCCCCCCCCCCCCCCCCCCCCCUCUCACUGUGUCUCUGUCCCAGUAAUUGCCAUUCCGACGCACGUCCCUCACAGAGAAGCAACAGCUAGGCGGAGUGGGGCCAAAGUGGACUACACGGAUUUCCCC
Molecule: long non-coding RNA, 7015 nt
Organism: Gasterosteus aculeatus aculeatus (three-spined stickleback)
Lineage: Eukaryota; Metazoa; Chordata; Actinopteri; Perciformes; Gasterosteidae
Source: Ensembl